GGGUGUCGAGCCUGCCGACGAACUUUGGUGAGAACGUUGUGGCGCGAAUUCUCGAUCCGAGCGCGCAGGUCCUGAGCCUGCCUUCGCUCGGCUUUGGGCCGGAUGUGGAGGCGGCGUUUUUGGAGGCGGCGAACAAGCCGUACGGAGUGAUCCUGGUGACCGGGCCGACUGGCAGCGGCAAAACGACGACGCUCUACACGGUGCUGCAGGAGGUUUCGAACGCCGACGUGACCACGUUUACGCUGGAAGAUCCGAUCGAAUACCGCAUGCCAAUGUUGCGGCAGACCCAGGUGCGGGAAGAGAUCGGCCUUACUUUCAGCUCGGGCUUGCGCGCCCUGUUGCGGCAGGACCCGGAUAUCAUCCUGGUUGGCGAAACGCGCGACACCGAAACGGCUCAGUUGAUGGUUCGCGCCGCGCUCACCGGUCACCUGGUCUUUUCGACCUUGCAUACGAACGAUUCCGCGGGUGCUGUCCCGCGUUUGAUCGACAUGGGAGUCGAGCCGUUUCUGCUCCCGGCGAGCCUGUUGUGCGUCCUUGCCCAACGUCUCGUUCGAACCCUCUGUCCGAAGUGCAAGGAGGAGAUGGACUCUCCAGAAAAAGUUUUUGACGGCCUGGGCGUGUCACCUCCCGCGGGCUUCUCGGUCCGGCUAUGGCGGAGCAAAGGUUGCCCGCAGUGCAAGGGCACCGGCUACCGGGGACGCCAGGGGGUUUUCGAAUUGAUGAUGCUGGACGAGCGAUUUCACGACCCCAUCGUGCGGCGAGCGGGCGCUCCGGAAUACAUCCGGCUGGCCCGGGAACGGGGCAUGCGAACGAUGUUCGAAGACGGCUUGCUCAAGUCGGUGCGGGGAAUCUCGACGAUCGAGGAACUGUUGCGGGUCACGCGCUUGACACCCACGUGAGCGCCCACCAGUAGAAGAUCACUCCGAUGCCUGUCUUUCGUUAUCAAGCCGCCGAUAAGCGCGGUCGGGCCGUCAAUGGCCAGAUGGCGGCUCAUGACGAAUCGAACCUUGAGGAAAAGCUACGGACCGCCGGGUUUUGGCUGCUCGAGGCGGCGACCGAACAGGCGCCCGCCCGCACCGCCAAAAAGGCCGAGGCGGACAUCGGUCGGCUGGCCAUGUCGGCAAAGCAACGGCGGCGCGCAUUGAUUGAAUUCUGCACCAUCAUGAGCUUCCAGUCCCGGGUCGGCAUCACGCUGAUGCAAGGGCUGGAGGUGGCCAGCCAGGACUGCGAUUUUCCGCCGUUUCGCCGGAUACUCUCCGGUCUGCAAUACCAGAUUGAGUCAGGUCGCCUUUUUUACGAGGCGCUGGAGAAAUAUCCCCGGGUGUUUUCGCCCCACUUCAUCUGCGUGAUGCGGGCCGGCGAGGUGAGUGGCAACCUGCCGGAUACUUUUGAGGACCUUCGCAAAUACAUGGAGUGGAUGGAUCAGAUCAUUGCGGACGUGCGCCAGGCCAGCCUUUACCCGCUGAUCGUCCUGACGGUGAUUCUGGGGUUCGUGCUGUUUUUGUUCACCUUCAUCAUUC
RNAcentral lists this unclassified non-coding RNA (1520 nucleotides) under uncultured fungus. RNAcentral describes it as "sequence contains 18S rRNA gene, ITS1, 5.8S rRNA gene, ITS2, 28S rRNA gene". Lineage: Eukaryota; Fungi. The record is from RNAcentral.